AGCUCAGGGAAGAGAAGUUGAGUCUCGGUGAACACAGGCAGCUCAGUAACGAGCCGCAGCGGCCGCAGCCGGAGCCGAGCCGGAGCCGAGCCGAGCCGAGCCGGGGCGGGCGGACAGGCGGCCGGCCAGGGGGAGUGAGCGAGCCGCUCCCCCCCCCCCCUUCCCUCCUCCCCGCAGGGUGCCCGGCGGGCCGGGGCUCUGCCUGGACCAUGCCGAUCCUCCUCUUCCUCAUAGACACGUCCGCCUCCAUGAACCAGCGGGCGUAUCUGGGCACCAGCUACCUGGACAUCGCCAAGGGCGCCGUGGAGAUCUUCAUGAAGCUGCGGGCCCGGGACCCGGCCAGCCGCGGCGACAGGUACAUGCUGGUUACCUUCGACGAGCCGCCCUACUGCAUCAAGGCUGGAUGGAAGGAAAACCAUGCAACAUUUAUGAAUGAACUGAAAAAUCUUCAGGCUUCAGGACUAACUACCCUUGGUCAGGCACUCAGGUCAUCAUUUGACUUGUUAAAUCUCAACAGAUUAGUGUCUGGAAUAGACAACUAUGGACAGGGAAGGAAUCCAUUCUUUUUGGAGCCAUCUAUUUUGAUUACCAUCACAGAUGGAAACAAACUGACAAAUACGUCUGGAGUUCAAGAGGAGCUUCAUCUUCCUUUGAAUUCUCCUUUGCCUGGAAGUGAAUUAACCAAAGAACCAUUUCGUUGGGAUCAAAGGCUGUUUGCUCUAGUGCUGCGUUUGCCAGGAGCUGCAUCUGCUGAACCAGAGCAGCUUGGGAGUGUGCCUACUGACGAAUCUGCUAUCACACAGAUGUGUGAAGUUACAGGAGGUCGUUCUUACUGCGUUCGGACACAAAGAAUGUUGAAUCAGUGUUUAGAAUCUCUAGUUCAAAAAGUCCAAAGUGGAGUUGUUAUUAACUUUGAAAAGUCAGGACCAGAUCCAGCUCCUAUUGGAGAAGAUGGACUUGUUGAUUCAUCCAGACCCAUCAAUUCAUUUGCUUCUCAACCGUGGCAUAGUUGUCAUAAACUCAUUUAUGUACGGCCUAACCCUAAAACGGGUGUUCCUGUUGGGCAUUGGCCAAUCCCAGAAUCUUUUUGGCCUGAUCAGAAUUCACCAACCCUGCCUCCGCGCACAGCUCACCCUGUUGUGAGGUUCUCCUGUGUUGAUUGUGAGCCAAUGGUAAUAGACAAGCUUCCUUUUGACAAGUAUGAGCUUGAGCCUUCACCCUUAACACAGUACAUCUUGGAACGAAAGUCUCCCCAUACCUGCUGGCAGGUAUUUGUGAGUAGCAGUGGAAAAUACAGCGAACUUGGCCAUCCGUUCGGGUAUUUAAAAGCAAGCACUACUUUAACCUGUGUAAACCUCUUUGUGAUGCCUUACAACUAUCCUGUUUUACUUCCGUUGUUAGAUGACUUGUUUAAGGUUCACAAACUUAAGCCAAAUCUGAAGUGGCGACAGGCUUUUGACAACUACUUAAAAACGAUGCCUCCUUACUACUUACUGCCAUUAAAGAAAGCCCUAAGGAUGAUGGGAGCUCCAAAUCUGAUAUCAGAUAAUUUAGAUUGUGGACUUAGUUACAGUGUUAUCUCUUACCUUAAAAAACUCAGCCAACAGACAAAAAUAGAGUCGGAACGGAUAAUAGGUUCAGUGGGUAAGAAAGUUCCACAAGAAAUUGGAAUAAAAGUGAAAAAUCACUCCAGUGGCCUCUCCUUGGUACACAGUAGGGAUUUUAAGCAACUGCUGCAAGGAAUCACUGGGGAAUCUCCACUGAGACUGGCGGAAAUGAAUGUUAAAGAAUUUGCUGGCUUCCACAUAGGACUUUUAAACAAGGAUUUGAAGCCACAGGCAUUCAGAAAUGCAUAUGAUAUUCCUCGUCGCAGUCUUCUAGACCAGCUAACUAGAAUGAGAACCAAUCUUCUGAAAACACACAGGCUUAUCUUGGGGCAGGAUGAAGACUGCCUUCAUAGUGUUCCUGUUGCUCAAAUGGGAAACUACCAGGAAUACCUGAAAAUGAUGCCUUCACCCCUUCGGGAGAUUGACCCGGAUCAACCGAAAAGACUUCAUACAUUUGGCAAUCCAUUUAAACAGGAUAAGAAGGGUAUGAUGAUAGAUGAAGCAGAUGAAUUUGUCACUGGGCCUCAGAAUAAGAUUAAGCGUCCCGGAGAGCCCAAUACUCCAGCAUCACUAAAGAGGAGGCGUAGCAUGUCACCACUGUUGAGACGGCCACAGUCACCACCCGUCGUAACGAAUCAUGUCGGUGGGAAAGGGCCACCAUCUGCUUCUGGAUCCCCAUCGUAUCUGAACCUCAAAGGCAUCCCAGCAAAUAAAGAUACCAGUAACAGUAUUGUCCAAGAUGGCAAUGGAGAGAAGAAAGCAGAAAAUUGUCAGUCACUGGAAAAGCAAAUUGAUGGCUUACCUGUGCAAAUGGCUCCUUCGGUUCCAGCUGCUAUGGGAGAGGAUGAAAUGUUACCCAAUGACUUAGACUCUCUACCUGUUGAAUUCAAUUGUUUAAGUGAAGAUGGGUUGGAUCAUAAACCUGGUACCAACGCACUUGUUCGAGGGCCUCUAAAUUACAGUGUGGCUGGAGAUGACCAAAAACGGGUGAUGGAGUCUACUUCCGAAUCUGUGCCAAAUUCAUUUAAAAUAACACCUAUGAUGUUGGAGGGAAACAAUGCUGAUAUCAAAAUUAAAGUGAUGAAAGAGGUUCGCAAACCUGGAAGAAAUUAUGAAAAAAUUUUCUCUCUUCUUGAGGAGGUGCAAGGACCUAUGGAAAUUCAGAAGUAUUUCAUUGAAUUUGCUAUCAAGGAAGCAGCAAGGUUUAAAAAACGGGUCUUAAUACAACACUUAGAGAGAAUACUAGAGGAACUAGAGUUCAACAGCCUACCCAACAGAGUUAAUCAUGUCAACAGUAGAUAAUAAUGUACCGGCCAGGCGAAUAUGGACCAGGAAUGAGUUUGCUGUGCCGCAGAAGAGUGGAAGAGGAUGUAGCUGCUGCCCUCACCAUCUUGGCAGUCAAGUGAUUUUACUGUCGCAGUCUGAGAAGAAGCAGUGGAGCUUUAACUUUAAGAACCUCUAUCGGCAGAAGCUGGGCUAUAACCUUAAGGAUUUGCUAUGAAAGGUGUGGCUUUUUUCCUGUGGAGGGUGCUAUUUGCUCAACAGGCUGAAGAAAAUAACCAUUGCUGCCCCUCCUGCAGACAUUAUGAAAGUGCACCUGAGGCUUCCCAGGUCCCCGACUUCAGUUCUCUUUCAUCCUGUGAGGAGGACGGAGAUUCUUCAGGUGGCCUUGGCACACGCUGUGCUUUGGAAGCACUAAAAGGAAACGCUUUUAAAAACGUGUAUUUUAAUGUUCAUACAAAAGAGAUUAUUUUGAACAGUAUUGUUACCAGAUCACUAAUUUGAUAUUUUAACUGUAUAAAUUUUUUGGAACAUAUGUAUAUAUAAAAUAAACCAUUUUAUUAAUUUUUAAUAA
Molecule: RNA transcript, 3462 nt
Organism: Harpia harpyja (harpy eagle)
Lineage: Eukaryota; Metazoa; Chordata; Aves; Accipitriformes; Accipitridae
Gene name: integrator complex subunit 6-like
Exons: 19
Source: RefSeq, a predicted model, not a curated record